Molecule: long non-coding RNA, 475 nt
Filed under: Sorghum bicolor (sorghum)
Lineage: Eukaryota; Viridiplantae; Streptophyta; Magnoliopsida; Poales; Poaceae
Description: long non-coding RNA (SBIC_LNC008192)
Source: RNAcentral
AGCGUUAUUUAUUAUUAUUAUUAUCAUUAUUGUAUAAGACUAUGUGAUUUAUUAUGUUCCGCUAUGUAAUAAACACUGCAAUGGUACAUUUGAUAUUUGUCUACUUAUGUGUGCGACUAUUUCUGGGGCACAUAUGAGUCUUUUAUGCAUCAUAUUUUGUUCUUAAAAUAUGGGUAUGACAAAUGGUUGGGCCCGUUGGAGAAUUGGGUCACGCGUGGGGGGGGGGGGUAGGGGUGCUGGGCUGCGGGUGGGAGGCUUGGGCCUCGGCUUCUGGCCCAGCUGAGAACAGGUAAGACAUCUCUCUUUCUUUUAUUUUCUUUUUUUCCAUUUUCAAAACCUUUUUCUAAAUAGAAUUUUGAAAGCAAUUAAGUUCCAAACAAAUGUCAGCAGCACAAAAAUAACUAUGCUCCAGCAUGAAUGCAUAUACAGUUUCUAUAAAUUUUAAUUUCAUCAAAAUUUAUUUAUUUACUACAUU